GAUUAUCCUCCAAAGGUUUCUAUUGGCUCUCUUUCUCUCAUCUUCUUAGAAGUGGCAUCUUCCCUGUGUUACUGGAGCAAUGAGAGGCGCAGCCCAGUAUUAGGCUUUCCCUCCUUGGAAAACAUAUGUCUAGAACCUGCUGUUCACUUGCAGCUGUAACUGGUAAGAUUUUACUAUUGAAAGUAUAUAUAUAUAUCUCCUCACCCCCAGUACUGAGGUUAGAACCCAGGGUCCUCUACUACUAAGCUACAUUCCCAGCCCUUUUUAAAAUUUUUUAUUAUUUUUUAAAAAGUAUUUAUUUAUUUAGUACUGGGAAUUAAACCCAGGGACACUUAACCACUGAACCACACCUGUAGCCCUUUUUAUAUUUUAUUUAGAGAUAGGGUCUUCCUAACUUGCUCAAGGCCUUGCUAAAUUGCUGAGGCUGGCUUUGAACUCACAAUCCUCCUGCCUUAGCCUCCUUAAAUCUCUGGGAUUACAGGCUUAUGCCACCAAGCCUGGCCCCCUUUUAUUUAUUUAUAUUUUUUAUUUUGAGACUGGGUCUCACUAAAUUGCUCAGGCCCCAGGCUGGCCUCAAACUGGUAGCUUCCUGUCUCUGCCUUUCAAGAUGCUACGAAGGCAGGCAUAUACCACCACACUUGGUUUAUUAAAUACGCUUUUAAAAAUAAUCAAUACCCACAUUUCCUUGAAUGUGAUUAGUGAAGCCAUAGCCCUUCAAGAAAGUACUUGGAGAAAAAAAGUGUUCUGUCCUUGUUUUUAAUUCCCAGCUUACUUUAUCAUAUUAAAGACUCUCUUGAAGCCCUGCAGUAGUGGUUUCCAAUGAAUGGUACUACUCCUGGGGGAUGGUUUGUAAAUUGGUAGGAGUGUUUUUGUUAUCUCGUUGAUUGGCCCUGGAACUGUGGGUGGACACUACAGUCCCAUGAAAUUAAGAGUUAUCCUUCACCCUCUGGGACUUCUGUUUGUCCUGAUAGUCUUAUGGCUGUAUAUAAUUAAGAUUAUUACCUAACUUUGUUUACAUAUAAACAGAGAGUAGUUGAGAUUUUGUAAGAGACACUGAAUGUUUAUGAAUGUAAUAAUUAUAUAAACCAAGAGAAGACUGUAUUUUGUUUUGCUUUGAACUUUACCAAGAAUUAUUCACUAUUUUCAAAGGGUAUAGCACCAGCAAUUUCACCAGUUGUACUUGAGUUGCUGACAGAGCAUAACCAGGUAGUCUGUGUUUGUAGAUGUCAAGUUGGAGAUGAUUCUUCUUUUUUUAUUUUUUAUUUCUUACAUACAUGAAAAUAGUAGAAUGCAUUACAAUCAUAAUUAUCCAUUCACGGCACAAUUUUUCAUAACUCUGUAUAUAAAGUAUGUUCAUGCCAAAUUAUGCCAUUAUACAUGAGCUCUCUUAUUUUUUUUUUUUGCAUUACAAUUCUUAAUACACCUUUAUACCACAAUGUAUCAUAUUUCUGUUUGUACAUACGGUAUGUUGACACCAAAUUCACAUCUUCAUACAAGUAUUUUGUAUAAUGAUGAUGGUCUCCUUCCAUCAUCCAUGCUAUUCCCCUUCUCCCUCCUUUUCCCUCCCACCCCUAUUUCCAUUACCACCUGGAGAUGAUCCUUCAUAUAGAAAGAAACACCUGACCACUUUUCUAUUUUGGUUUUGUUAUACUCAUGCAUCUACAUAUUGUUGUGGGAUUUUUGGAGAUUAUGUUUAUGAAGGACAUUCUUAUGAAUUUUGUUUCAGGAUGAUAAAGGAGGUGUUAGAAAGAUACAUGUUUACUGAAAGGAUACUUUGGGUCUGUUAGGUCUGU
RNAcentral lists this long non-coding RNA (1793 nucleotides) under Marmota monax (woodchuck). The record is from RNAcentral. Lineage: Eukaryota; Metazoa; Chordata; Mammalia; Rodentia; Sciuridae.